Eurytemora carolleeae is the source of this 433-nucleotide long non-coding RNA. RefSeq lists it as uncharacterized. NCBI's taxonomy places the organism in Eukaryota, Metazoa, Arthropoda, Copepoda, Calanoida, Temoridae. The transcript is spliced from 2 exons. The record is from RefSeq and is a predicted model, not a curated record.
UUAAACAUAUUUUUUCCAUUUAAAACUCCUAAAAAAAAAUAUUUCCUAUUUUUGCUGACUUAUGCCAAUAUUUGUCAUUUUGUCAAUCAAUUUACAACUCCUAAAAAUAAAAAUAUUUCCUAUUUUUGCUGACUUUUGCCAAAAAUCGCCAGUAUUAAAACUCCUAAAGCAAAAUAUUUCCUAUUUUUGCUGACUUUCGCUAAUACUUGCCAAUAUUUUAUUUUAAGACUUCCUAUUGCAGUACUUAUUCCUAUCUAUCCUUUUUUCAACUUAUUCCUACUGCCUAAACAUUUCAAACUAUCUCAAACCUGAGGAGUGAAUUGUGGCUAAAUAGCUUGAGGAAAAUGUUUGACGAGGAACCCACUGAACCUGUGCACGGUAGCUGUAUGAGACAGAAAAUCCCACAACGGAAGGAAUAACGGUAAAAAAGAUU